This 360-nucleotide long non-coding RNA is filed under the name Junco hyemalis (dark-eyed junco). RNAcentral's name for it is "lncRNA (ENSJHYG00000010826.1)". The record is from RNAcentral. Lineage: Eukaryota; Metazoa; Chordata; Aves; Passeriformes; Passerellidae.
GGCUGGGAGCCUCACCACCACUAGUGUCCAAUCAUAGCACAGGCAAAAACUGGAGCCCAGUUAAAUUCCGUUGUUUUCUCAAAAAACAGAUGAGCAUUUGGACCUGAGACAUCCACAUUCAGGGAGUGAACUCUUCCUGGCUGCAGGAACAAGAAUGUAUGAUUCUGUGCGCAGUGAGAAAAGCCCGGAGUGAGCGAGCAGCCCUUUGCUUUGGCAGGGCCUGAGGAAAGAUCCCCCGUGUCCUCGGAGAGCUGGUGACAAGGUCACGCUGACCUGAGGAAAGCCAAGUAACUUCUGGAAAUCCCAAAUCGGGUCAACAAUGCGAGAUCUGUCCACCAUUCAGAUUUAAGUGAAGUCACC